Molecule: ribosomal RNA, 418 nt
Filed under: uncultured bacterium
Lineage: Bacteria
Description: bacterial SSU rRNA
Rfam family: Bacterial small subunit ribosomal RNA
Source: RNAcentral
UGAGUAACGCGUAUGCCAACCUACCUAUCGAGGAGGGGAACUAACCCGGCGAAAGUCGGACUAAUACCGCAUAAAACAGGGGCACCGCAUGGUGAUAUUUGUUAAAGAAUUCGCUGAUAGAUGGGCAUGCGUUCCAUUAGGUAGUUGGUGAGGUAACGGCUCACCAAGCCGACGAUGGAUAGGGGAACUGAGAGGUUGGUCCCCCCACACUGGUACUGAGACACGGACCAGACUCCUACGGGAGGCAGCAGUGAGGAAUAUUGGUCAAUGGGCGGGAGCCUGAACCAGCCAAGUCGCGUAGAAGGAAGAAGGAUCUAUGGUUCGUAAACUUCUUUUGCAGGGGAAUAAAGUGCAGGACGCGUCCUGUUUUGUAUGUACCCUGAGAAUAAGGAUCGGCUAACUCCGUGCCAGCCGCUGC